Myodes glareolus (Bank vole) is the source of this 431-nucleotide long non-coding RNA. RefSeq lists it as uncharacterized. The record is from RefSeq and is a predicted model, not a curated record. NCBI's taxonomy places the organism in Eukaryota, Metazoa, Chordata, Mammalia, Rodentia, Cricetidae.
CUUCCCGUGGUUAGCUGAAGUGUCAUUUCAGAAAUAUUUUUCCUGACGUCAAUUCUAUAAGUUCCAUGUGCUGCUCUUGGACCAUCUCUGAUAUGUGAUCUCUGAGUCUGGCGACUAGUUGGUGAACCUUUACAGCUAAUAACCACUUACAAAUACUCUUGUUGAAGAAACUUGGAUCAUAGAAACAGAAAGGAAAUAUGAAAACUAUUUAUUCUAACUGGAUAUUGAUCCUCCGUCAGAUGCACACAUGGCAGAGUCUCUCCCAUUCUCUGCAUUUCUUCUUCACUUGAUUAUUUUCUUGGCUACAUAGAUUUUUAAAUUUUCUGAGGGCCCCACUGUAAAUUUUUGGCCCUGAUUUUUUGACUAAUGCAAUGCUGCUCAGAAAGUCCUUUCCUAAAUCUAUAUCUGACAAAGUACUGCAUCCAUUUUUC